RNAcentral lists this ribosomal RNA (253 nucleotides) under uncultured bacterium. RNAcentral describes it as "partial 16S ribosomal RNA". It matches the Rfam family "Bacterial small subunit ribosomal RNA", at positions 524 to 776 of the family's 1533-position model. The record is from RNAcentral.
UACGUAGGCAGCGAGCGUUGUUCGGAUUUACUGGGCGUAAAGGGUGUGUAGGCGGUUCUUUAAGUUUGGUGUGAAAUCUCCCGGCUCAACUGGGAGGGUGCGCCGAAUACUGAGGGACUAGAGUACGGGAGAGGAAAGUGGAAUUCCUGGUGUAGCGGUGAAAUGCGUAGAUAUCAGGAGGAACACCGGUGGUGUAGACGGCUUUCUGGACCGUAACUGACGCUGAGACACGAAAGCGUGGGUAGCAAACAGG